CAGGCUGCAGCAGCAGCAGCUCCUGGAGUACCUUCUUGUCCUGGAAAUGGCGGAGAUGAAGGAGAGCAAACCCAAUGGCAGAGUCAGGUCCACUACCAGCCCAUGGCCAGAGCACAUCAUGUGACUAAGUCAAAGUUGAGGGGCAGAGUACCCCAUAGCCACGGUGAGGCUGCAGCAGGGCAUGGGUGUCACACUCCUACACUGCAGGGACGUGAAAAUGGGGACGGCAGUUCAUCCUACCAAACGAAUACUGACAUUAAACUUACCAUGUGAAUGCAGAGAAGCACCACAUUAUGAUUACCUUUACAUAAAGCAGCGGAUAUCACUCACCAUCAGACCCAAUUGGUCAUGCACCUGGCAACAAGCUCAGGGCCUCUUAGCAAUCCAGGGGGUGGCUGGGCUCCGGCCUCCUUGGCACUGUGUGUGCCCUGCCUAGAAUGAGCAGACGACAUCAGCUGCCCCAGAACAUGAUUCAGGGCCAACACGAGUGCCCUCUGCAUCCACUGCACAGCCGCAGAGGGAGAAUCAGGCACUGGCUUGUGGCCGACAGGCCUCCUGUAAGGCUUGCCCAUUCAGACACGCAGAUGAUGGGUGAGGCAGGCUGAGUUGUGGACGCACAUGACUCUCUCAGCUCUUUGAACCUUGUGAUGGCUGGCAAACAGGGACCAGGUGUGCAUUUGAGAAUGAAUGCCAGCUGAGCAGAAGAGCCACCAGCCAGUGCCCAGAGCUUGGAGCCCACGCAGCUACGUCUUUCUCUUUCCCUUGCUCUAUCUUCUCAGGUGGAUGGACAGUAUAGCUGCCUCCCAGUACCAGCCUUUUCUGCUAAAAAUCAGUCCCGGGAACUGUGCUAGAAUUUCCCAUGCAGGUCAAGGUCUGAGCAGCUUGAGAAAUCGACACAGUGUAUACCCAAACUUGCUGUUAUUUGUUAAGAAACACUUUUAGUGUUCUCUCCUGGGACCCUGUUCCUUUCCGCUCCUUAGCGGCCAGGCCGGGCAGCACUCCAGGUCUGCAUGGUCAAAGCCUCCGCUGUCGGGCCAGGGUAAUCCUCUACCUGUUACUGUCACCCAAGACUUAUAGCCUCCACCUCCCUUUCUCUUCUUUCUUCCUUGUUUCUGGCCCCUCCACCCUCAGAGACGCCAGACUCUCUUUUGAUUCUCUUUCAUUCCUGCUCCAAGCCUGAGGUGUUUGAUAAGAACUGAUCCAUUGACUGGAGGGUGUGAGUGGCUUGAGGAGUUCUUCGUCUGAGGAAGAUUUACCUUUUCUAAGAGACCUGGGGAGGAGGGCACUGCUUACCUCUGAGGAACAAAGCACUAACGGUGGCGUUUCAGCCUCCAAAGAUGAGCCAAGGGAAAUUAUUUUUAGAUUUCAGAGCUGCCAUAUCUGAAAUCAAACCACAGAGACAGCUUGCUGCUGGUUCACUUGCAGAGUGAGGCUUGAAGACCUGGGAGUUAAGCCUAAGGCUAUUCCUGCUCUGAAACGGAGCCCAUGACUGUGCCAGGGACCCUGAACUACAGAGGCUGCCCACGGAGGAGGACUCAGAGGGCCAGGGUCCUGUGGAUCAUGAUUGCUUCCUGUCUCUUCCCACACCGUCUCCUCCACUGACGCCCUCGUAAGCAAGAGCAGCCUCACUUUUGCCUUCCUCCAGGCCUAGCUCCUUCCACUCUCUAGCAGCAGUGAGGAGAGGGAGUGACAGAGGCUGCUAUGGAGGAGGAUGCAUGGGAAGGCCAUGGCAGGGAAAAGAAAGGAGAUAAUGAUGGUGACAUUCUGUAAAUAUCAUCCUUUCCAUACCCUCACUCAGCACCCCAGAUGUUGAACCAAGUGGAUAAGGAUGUGACAAGAACCAAAGUAGAAACCCAAAAGGGGGUUCUACUAAGCAGGUUUUAAAGAAGAAUCUGGUCCUCUGGUGUAAUAUGGAUCACACUGAGAAGCAGGUAAUACGCUUCGCUCAGUAACGGGCACACCUCUGUUGGCGAUUUAUUUGCUUUGACUAAAGAUAGUGGAAUUUACCCUCGAUGAAAGCAGGGGAGGCCACGCUGAAGCUCAGCACCUCAGUCAGCUAACACCUCCCGAACACCCAGCACGUGCUCGGCACGGCCAAGAUGAGGAAGAUACGCUUUAUCCCUGCAAAGCUGACUUUCUGUGUCUGUACGCUGGGCCCCCAACCAUCCUGCUUGUUAGAGAAACAGCAGGUCAUUUUUCUCACCCGGCAUCCCACAGGGGCUGGAGCUCCUCGAGGAGCAGAGCAAGGGGCAAGCUGUGGUCUCCUGUGGGCUCUUAGGAGCAUGGAGGGCAGACUUCCUCAGGACAGUUUUGAUUGCUUGGUUUUUGCAGGAUUUUUUUUCCCCUCCACCAGCC
This 2355-nucleotide long non-coding RNA is filed under the name Equus caballus (horse). RNAcentral describes it as "lncRNA (ENSECAG00000051765.1)". Lineage: Eukaryota; Metazoa; Chordata; Mammalia; Perissodactyla; Equidae. The record is from RNAcentral.